UGGGGAAUUUUGGACAAUGGGCGAAAGCCUGAUCCAGCAAUGCCGCGUGUGUGAAGAAGGCCUUCGGGUUGUAAAGCACUUUUGUCCGGAAAGAAAUCCUUGGCUCUAAUACAGUCGGGGGAUGACGGUACCGGAAGAAUAAGCACCGGCUAACUACGUGCCAGCAGCCGCGGUAAUACGUAGGGUGCAAGCGUUAAUCGGAAUUACUGGGCGUAAAGCGUGCGCAGGCGGUUUGCUAAGACCGAUGUGAAAUCCCCGGGCUCAACCUGGGAACUGCAUUGGUGACUGGCAGGCUAGAGUAUGGCAGAGGGGGGUAGAAUUCCACGUGUAGCAGUGAAAUGCGUAGAGAUGUGGAGGAAUACCGAUGGCGAAGGCAGCCCCCUGGGCCAAUACUGACGCUCAUGCACGAAAGCGUGGGGAGCAAACAGGAUUAGAUACCCUGGUAGUCCACGCCCUAAACGAUGUCAACUAGUUNUUGGGGAUUCAUUUCCUUAGUAACGUAGCUAACGCGUGAAGUUGACCGCCUGGGGAGUACGGUCGCAAGAUUAAAACUCAAAGGAAUUGACGGGGUCAUAGCUGUUUCCU
RNAcentral lists this ribosomal RNA (585 nucleotides) under uncultured bacterium. RNAcentral describes it as "partial 16S ribosomal RNA". It matches the Rfam family "Bacterial small subunit ribosomal RNA", at positions 355 to 1375 of the family's 1533-position model. The record is from RNAcentral.